UUAGCCACUAGAUAGAAAAGAAGAAGAAGAAGUCGUAAGGGAAAAAGAAGGUAAGAUAUUCGACCUAGGGAACAAUAACUGAUUAGGAGAGAAGAGAAGAAGAGAAUCUAAAACCAAAAAUGAUAAGAAGAAAAGGUGAAAAAAUCGACUAAAGCUCAAGAAAGGAAGAAUAGGCAGGAAUCAACCUAACAAAAAAAUGCAAUUGCGAGAGAGUCAGGAAAAAAGUGUAGCAAAAGAAGUUGGCUAACCAAUUGACC
This 257-nucleotide long non-coding RNA is filed under the name Gossypium barbadense (sea-island cotton). Its description in RNAcentral is "long non-coding RNA (GBAR_LNC006414)". The record is from RNAcentral. Lineage: Eukaryota; Viridiplantae; Streptophyta; Magnoliopsida; Malvales; Malvaceae.